Molecule: long non-coding RNA, 429 nt
Filed under: Carica papaya (papaya)
Lineage: Eukaryota; Viridiplantae; Streptophyta; Magnoliopsida; Brassicales; Caricaceae
Description: long non-coding RNA (CPAP_LNC006878)
Source: RNAcentral
GCAUUACUAAUAACAUAGAAAAUAAUACUAAUUGUAUUAGUGUAGCCGUAAGUCGAAUAGAUAUAAAAUACUAAUAGCUCGUAAUUUAUAACAGAAGAAUCGUAGUAAAACAACAAAUGGUUUAUGUCAUGGCAUUUUUUUGGGUGUACUUUCUCCUUGUGAGUUUAUAUUUGACCAUCCUUGCAAUCUUGUAGAACCAGUAAGCACUCACCAACUGUAAUCCCAUUGCCAUGACCUAAUUCCAAAAUUCCAAAAAAAAAUCACUUAACAGUGAACAAAAUAAUGAAAUAAAUUAUACAAUAUUAAAUAAUUAUUUCGCAAGGAUAAAUAAAUUUGGAAAAAAACACCUUUAUUAGAAGGGGAUUAUUGGGAGCCGACAGUGUGACGAAUGUGAGAUAAGGGCCCACUACCAUUCUUGCGAAUGAGAAA